Molecule: long non-coding RNA, 200 nt
Filed under: Capsicum annuum
Lineage: Eukaryota; Viridiplantae; Streptophyta; Magnoliopsida; Solanales; Solanaceae
Description: long non-coding RNA (CANN_LNC002658)
Source: RNAcentral
ACAAUUACUCACUGAUAAUGUACCGUUGUUGAAUGAUCAAUAGUUGAGAGGGAAAAGUAGAAUGAGUUAUUAUUCAGCUGAAAAAUAGUUACACUCUAUUACCGUGUAAUGGUGUCAUAUUAAUAUACUUUUUAGUGAUAACUACUCCUAACCGACUAACAGCCUAGCUAAUUAUUUGACUAUCAUUUAUAUUCUUUAUC